ACGUAUGUUUUUUAGUUGACAUGGCUAAGGAGCCUGAUGCUGGGAAAGACUAAAGGUAGGAGGUGAAGGGGAAGACAGAGGAUGAGAUGGUUGGAUGGCAUCACUGACUCAAUGGUUCAAAUGAGUUUGAGCAAACUCCAGGAGUUGGUGAAGGACAGGGAAGCCUGGUGUGCUGCAGUCCAUCAGGUUGCAAAGAGUCAGACACGACUGAGUGACUAACAACAUCAACAGGCCAAGGAGCAAGGAAGGGAUCCGUGUAUGGAAAAUUACUAAGUAGAAACAUCAGGGGAUAAGGGAGGAUUCUGACUAAACUGACUCGACAGGAUUCUUGCGGAAGACAGGCCAGGGUGAGCAGAUAUCACCUGUAGAUUGUUGCCUUAUGUAGAAUCUAAUAUCCUGACCAGGGAUCAAACCUGGGUCUCUUGAAUUGGAAGCAUGGAGUCUGAGCCACUGGACCACCAGGGAAGUCUCUCAGAAGACUCUUGAGAGCCCCUUGCACUGCAAGGAGAUCAAACCAGUCAAUCCUAAAGGAAAUCAACCCUGAAUAUUCACUGGAAGGAAUGAAGCUGAAUGCUGCUGAAGCUGAAGCGCCAAUACACUGGCCACCUGAUGCGAAGAGCUGACUAAUUGGGAAAGAUUGAGGGCAGGAGAAGAAGAGGAUGACAGAGGAUGAGAUGGUUGGAUGGUAUCACCGACUCAAUGGACAUGAGUUUGGGUGGACUCUGGAAGAUGGUGAAGGACAGGGAAGCCUGGUGUUCUGCAAUUCAUGGAGUUGCAAAGAGUCAGACACAACUUAGAGACUGAACAGCAACAACAGGAAUUGGCCAUUUCUAUACUUUCUCCAGAGAAAUGUGCAUCGAAAUCCUUUAUUUUUAAAAUAUUUAUUUAUUUAGCUAUGUGAGAUCUAAGUUGCCGUAUGUGGGGUCUUUUUUUUAAAUUGUUGUUGUGGCACACAGAAUCUUUUUAGUUGUGACAUUUGGAAUCUUCAAUUGCAGCAUGUGAACUCAUAGUUGCAGUAUGUGGGAUCUAGUUCUCUGGUCAGGGAUUGAACCCAGGCCCCCAACAUUGGGAGUGUGGAGUCUUAGCCACUGGGCCAUUUGGGAAGUCCCCCUUAUGCAUUAAAACAUUUUUUUAUUGUUGAGUUGUACAAAUUCUUCACAUAUUCUGGAUACAAGCCCUGAGUCAGACAUAUUAUUUGCAAAUAUUUUCCCCCAUUCUUUGGGUUGUCUUUUCACUUUUAUGAUCGUAUUGUUGGUAAUACAAAAGUUUUAAAUUUGAAUGUAACCCAGUUUAUCUAUUUUUUUCUAUAACAAUAAUAAAAUUUAUUAUUUUA
Molecule: long non-coding RNA, 1333 nt
Organism: Bos taurus (domestic cattle)
Lineage: Eukaryota; Metazoa; Chordata; Mammalia; Artiodactyla; Bovidae
Source: Ensembl